GGACCCGUAGCUCAACUGGAUAGAGCCCGUCCCACCAAGGCGAAGAUGCAGGUUCGAGUCCUGCCGGGUUCA
This 72-nucleotide transfer RNA is filed under the name Rhodospirillaceae bacterium. Its description in RNAcentral is "tRNA-Gly". It matches the Rfam family "tRNA". Rfam says of the family: Transfer RNA (tRNA) molecules are approximately 80 nucleotides in length. Their secondary structure includes four short double-helical elements and three loops (D, anti-codon, and T loops). Lineage: Bacteria; Pseudomonadati; Pseudomonadota; Alphaproteobacteria; Rhodospirillales; Rhodospirillaceae. The record is from RNAcentral.